CCUACGGGAGGCAGCAGUAGGGAAUCUUUCACAAUGGGCGAAAGCCUGAAGGAGCAACGCCGCGUGCAGGAUGAAGGCCUUCGGAUUGUAAACUGCUUUUGUAAGCGAGAAUAAUGAUGGUAUCUAACGAAUAAGCACCGGCUAACUCCGUGCCAGCAGCCGCGGUCAUACGGAGGGUGCGAGCAUUAUCCGGAGUCACUGGGUGUAAAGAGUGCGAUGGCGGGUUAUCAAGUUAGAUGUGAAAUCCUGUGGUUUAACCAUAAAACUGUUUUUGAAACUGUUAUUCUAGAGAACGUGAGAGGGAGGUGGAAUUCUUGGUGUAGGAGUAAAAUCCGUAGAGAUUAAGAGGAAUACUCAUUGCGAAGGC
Molecule: ribosomal RNA, 367 nt
Filed under: uncultured bacterium
Lineage: Bacteria
Description: partial 16S ribosomal RNA
Rfam family: Bacterial small subunit ribosomal RNA
Source: RNAcentral